RNAcentral lists this long non-coding RNA (242 nucleotides) under Mytilus galloprovincialis (Mediterranean mussel). The record is from RNAcentral. Lineage: Eukaryota; Metazoa; Mollusca; Bivalvia; Mytilida; Mytilidae.
UCUUAAAAUUACACACAUCUUAAUAAGGAUGAGGAAUUUGUAGCAAAGAAAUAAAAUUUAUCGAUUCAGAACAUAAACCCCAAACACGGCGGAAUCUAUUUGAAUUUGACUUAUCCCAUCCAUCGAUUUAACAACAUGUAUUUAUCCUAACGAACUUUCGAAAAUUAACUUCCAUAUCUAAAUAUAACAUUCACUUUUAGUAGGAUAGAUCGCGUUCCUCACAUCAUGGAAUUGCCAAAUAC